CAGACUAUUAAAAAAAAACUGAUUUUGAGCUUGCAUGUCAAAAAUAUUUAUCAAGGACUUUCUUAUUUGCAGAAGAAAACUACAGCAAGGCAAAGCAGUUCUUUAAAAAAGUGAAGAAAUAUUAGAUAUAUUCAACUGAUUUACUUUAAAUAGACUAAUAAAAAAUUCUGAAAGGAGGCCUCAAAACACAGACAAUUAAAAAAAACUGAUUGUGAGCUUGCAUGUCAAAAUUAUUUAUCAAGGACUUUCUAAUUUGCAGAAAGAAAACU
Molecule: long non-coding RNA, 269 nt
Filed under: Mytilus galloprovincialis (Mediterranean mussel)
Lineage: Eukaryota; Metazoa; Mollusca; Bivalvia; Mytilida; Mytilidae
Source: RNAcentral